GAUUAACGCUGGCGGCGUGCAUAACACAUGCAAGUCGAACGAUGAAACUUAACUGAUUUCUUCGGAAUGAUUUUAAGUGGAUUAGUGGCGGACGGGUGAGUAACGCGUGAGUAACCUGCCUUGGAGAAGGGGAUAGCCUUUGGAAACGAAGAAUAAUACCCUAUGAUAUGAUAAUAUCUCAUGAUAUUAUCAUCAAAGAUUUAUCGCUCUAAGAUGGACUUGCGUCUGAUUAGUUAGUUGGUGAGGUAACAGCUCACCAAGGCAGCGAUCAGUAGCCGGCUUGAGAGAGUGUACGGCCACAUUGGGACUGAGACAAGGCCCAGACUCCUACGGGAGGCAGCAGUGGGGAAUUUUGCACAAUGGGGGAAACCCUGAUGCAGCGACGCCGCGUGAUUUAGAAGGCCUUCGGGUUGUAAAAAUCUUUUGUAUGGGAAGAAAAUGACAGUACCAUACGAAUAAGGACCGGCUAAUUACGUG
RNAcentral lists this ribosomal RNA (477 nucleotides) under uncultured bacterium. Its description in RNAcentral is "partial 16S ribosomal RNA". It matches the Rfam family "Bacterial small subunit ribosomal RNA", at positions 28 to 507 of the family's 1533-position model. The record is from RNAcentral.